UACACGCUGUGACUAGCAUAUCAAUAAGCGGAGGAAAAGAAACUAACAAGGAUUCCCUCAGUAACGGCGAGUGAAGCGGGAAGAGCUCAAAUUUGAAAUCUUGAAAGGUCACCUUUCACGAAUUGUAGUUUAAAGAAGUGUUUUCUGUUACGAUCGUAAUAUAAGUUCUUUGGAAUAGGACAUCACAGAGGGUGAGAAUCCCGUCUAUGAUUGCGAUUUGUAGCUUUGUGAUACACUUUCAAAGAGUCGGUUGUUUGGGAAUGCAGCCCAAAACGGGAGGUAAAUUUCUUCUAAGGCUAAAUAUUGGCGAGAGACCGAUAGCGAACAAGUACCGUGAGGGAAAGAUGAAAAGAACUUUGAAAAGAGAGUUAAAUAGUACGUGAAAUUGUCAAAAGGGAAGCGUUUAACACCAGUGUUGUUUUCUGAAAAUCAACCUCUGUUAGCUUUAUGCAUGUUUGUUUAGACCUAAUCAGCUAUCUUUCAUGUUCUAUUGUUUGCAGUGGUGCACUUUUCAGUUUACAGGUCAACAUCAGUUUUUUUUACCGUAAAAAAGUUAAAGAAAGGUAGCUCAUGGCUCCGGUCGUGAGUGUUAUAGUCUUUUUCCUAUGCGGUAGGAGAGACUGAGGUCUGCAGUGUAGGCUAUUUGGCUAGAUACUCAGGUGCUAUGUGAUACCAUUUCAUAAACAACUUGUUGAUUAUGUUUUGUCUAUUGCAUACUCGCUUGUACUAUCAUACCUACGCUUAGGAUGUUGAGUAGCGACAUACGCAC
This 769-nucleotide ribosomal RNA is filed under the name uncultured Neocallimastigales. Its description in RNAcentral is "partial large subunit ribosomal RNA". The stretch from base 3 to 659 matches the Rfam family "Eukaryotic large subunit ribosomal RNA", at positions 24 to 664 of the family's 3401-position model. The record is from RNAcentral. Lineage: Eukaryota; Fungi; Neocallimastigomycota; Neocallimastigomycetes; Neocallimastigales.